CACUCCUGCGGGAGGCAGCAGUGGGGAAUUUUGGACAAUGGGCGAAAGCCUGAUCCAGCCAUGCCGCGUGCAGGAUGAAGGCCUUCGGGUUGUAAACUGCUUUUGUACGGAACGAAACGGCCUUUUCUAAUAAAGAGGGCUAAUGACGGUACCGUAAGAAUAAGCACCGGCUAACUACGUGCCAGCAGCCGCGGUAAUACGUAGGGUGCAAGCGUUAAUCGGAAUUACUGGGCGUAAAGCGUGCGCAGGCGGUUAUGUAAGACAGUUGUGAAAUCCCCGGGCUCAACCUGGGAACUGCAUCUGUGACUGCAUAGCUAGAGUACGGUAGAGGGGGAUGGAAUUCCGCGUGUAGCAGUGAAAUGCGUAGAUAUGCGGAGGAACACCGAUGGCGAAGGCAAUCCCCUGGACCUGUACUGACGCUCAUGCACGAAAGCGUGGGGAGCAAACAGGAUUAGAAACCCGGGUAGUCCCAUG
RNAcentral lists this ribosomal RNA (474 nucleotides) under uncultured organism. Its description in RNAcentral is "partial 16S ribosomal RNA". It matches the Rfam family "Bacterial small subunit ribosomal RNA", at positions 334 to 799 of the family's 1533-position model. The record is from RNAcentral.